This 434-nucleotide ribosomal RNA is filed under the name uncultured Lachnospiraceae bacterium. RNAcentral's name for it is "partial 16S ribosomal RNA". It matches the Rfam family "Bacterial small subunit ribosomal RNA", at positions 341 to 792 of the family's 1533-position model. Lineage: Bacteria; Bacillati; Bacillota; Clostridia; Lachnospirales; Lachnospiraceae. The record is from RNAcentral.
ACGGAAGGCAGCAGUGGGGAAUAUUGCACAAUGGGGGAAACCCUGAUGCAGCGACGCCGCGUGAGUGAAGAAGUUAUUCGUAAUGUAAAGCUCUAUCAGCAGGGAAGAAAAUGACGGUACCUGACUAAGAAGCCCCGGCUAACUACGUGCCAGCAGCCGCGGUAAUACGUAGGGGGCAAGCGUUAUCCGGAUUUACUGGGUGUAAAGGGAGCGUAGACGGCAUCGUAAGUCUGAUGUGAAAGGCAGGGGCUCAACUCCUGGACUGCAUUGGAAACUACGAAGCUUGAGUGCCGGAGGGGUAAGCGGAAUUCCUAGUGUAGCGGUGAAAUGCGUAGAUAUUAGGAGGAACACCAGUGGCGAAGGCGGCUUACUGGACGGUAACUGACGUUGAGGCUCGAAAGCGUGGGGAGCAAACAGGAUUAGAUACCCUGGUA